This 432-nucleotide long non-coding RNA is filed under the name Homo sapiens (human). RNAcentral describes it as "HSALNT0406007". The record is from RNAcentral. Lineage: Eukaryota; Metazoa; Chordata; Mammalia; Primates; Hominidae.
GUGCUGGCUGCUCCGUGCCCCCACCCCCUGCUUGCUGAGCUCAGCUGCAACUCUCUCCAGUUAACGAUCCUCGAUCCUCCGUGAUCCAUCCAUUAUUGAAUCCCAGCACCUGCCACAGGUUGUUCGUUGAAUGGAUGUGUAGGUUCUGAGAAACCAACGUGGAGGGAAGAGGCAACAGAGCCGACUGGUAUCAGGAGCUCUCUCGGGCCCACCAAGUCAACAGCUGUCUGACACAGAUGACCAAGGAGAAUAGAGGUACUCGGGGAACCUGAGUGAGUGCUGGGGUCUUCCCAUGAAAGGGCAGCAGGAAAGAGCCUCCUUGGGGAAAUUUAGGUGUCUGUGACCUUGGACAGGGCCCCCUUCAAGGGCAAGAGCUAGUCCCACAAACCGGACUGUCUUUAGAGGAGGCUCUGCCUGCAAUGUUUUGAGGCA